UCCCUAGUACAAACCGGUUCAAACACCACAAAACACAAUCACAAACGUGAUAAAAGGAUAAAUAGUUCCAACAUUGACAAUUAGUACAUCCCAAUAUUUCUUUGAUUAAUUAUAAGAAAGAAGAAAUAUAGAGAGAGUUGAGUUUUUUCAGGAAUGAGCAAAAUAGGAAAAGCAUCAAAAGGCUUGCUACGCAGGAGAGAUGAUGCUGGACGAUAGAGAUAUGGGAAUAUUAAAGGGGCCUAAUUUAUUGGCCAGCAUCAUACUCCUGCAUAUUAAGCCUAAAAAAGAUGCUAUAAAUUACCAUGAUGGUUGGUUGGGCCAGGAGGGUCUCUUAACGCCUUCUUUUUUUUCUCAUCCAAGUUAUUUCACAAAGACUUAUCAGGGUAAGGAAGAAGGGGAACAAGCACACUUGGAAGCGCAGUACAACGGAGAGUUGUAUGCCUCUUUUCUUCACUCAAAGCGGCAAUGCACCCUUUGUUUGAAGGGUACUUGAUUUGUUUGAAGGGUUCUUUUAUUUAGGUUUAGAAGGAGGCAGAUAGAAAGAUUUGAAAAAUCUAAACAACUCGAGUAGGCAAAAGGAAAAGCUUGAGUUAAAUAUUAUCGCUUAGUGGAAUGAUUUGAUCCAUCAAAUGACAGAUCUGGAUUCCCAAAGGACGUUGGCAUCAGGUAGAAAGUCCUUUUUUGCCUCUUCAAAACACAUGAAAUGCAGACAGACAGGGCGGAGCUAGUGCUUCAGUUACAAGUUCGACGAAACUCAAUAACUUUAUUCAAAUUUUAUCUGGACAAAAAAAACUCUCAAACUCAUAAGUUUCGUUUCAAAUCCUGACUCCACCUCUGCGGACAGAGCAAAGCUUGGCAGAUGGUAGGGGUGGGAAUUU
Molecule: long non-coding RNA, 878 nt
Organism: Solanum dulcamara
Lineage: Eukaryota; Viridiplantae; Streptophyta; Magnoliopsida; Solanales; Solanaceae
Exons: 3
Source: RefSeq, a predicted model, not a curated record